GGUGGUUCUCCGAUGACACAUCCCAGAAUUGGGCUCCCUCCUCUCUGGUUCCGGGUGUGUCACCCGAGAACUGCA
Myotis lucifugus (little brown bat) is the source of this 75-nucleotide non-coding RNA. NCBI's taxonomy places the organism in Eukaryota, Metazoa, Chordata, Mammalia, Chiroptera, Vespertilionidae. The record is from Rfam.